CUGUGCCUAGAGGGAAGAAGCGUUUGGGUCACAGUGCUGGAGUGAGAGUUAACGCGAAGGCGGGCUUUUAGACCUGAAAGAAGACUUUUUUUUUUCUGUUUAUUGCCGUUAAAAGGCGAGUGGAGUCCAGACCGCGCUUUGUAACUCAGGGAGGUGGAUUGAAGAUGGAUCUCUUUCCAGUGAUCUGAAGGAGGGGGUUAUGCUGUCAUGUGCUGCAAUUUGAUUUAAGGACAAUGGGUCUUCCAUGAAGCUGCACUGGCUGAAUUCUCCUGCUUUGUUAGUUGCACUUUGACUUUGCUUUUUAUGCAACAUAAGCAGAAUGUUCAACUUUUGCUCAUUUUCAUUUACUAUGAGCCAAUGUAUGUGAAACUCCACCAUCUUUACAUGAAGCAAUAGCUUGUGUUUGCAGUAAAUGGCUGGUAUUUAAGCUUUGUAUUCCAUUUGUUUAAUAAAAAGGUCUUUCCAGA
Long non-coding RNA from Polyodon spathula (Mississippi paddlefish), 467 nucleotides. RefSeq lists it as uncharacterized. The transcript is spliced from 2 exons. Lineage: Eukaryota; Metazoa; Chordata; Actinopteri; Acipenseriformes; Polyodontidae. The record is from RefSeq and is a predicted model, not a curated record.